RNAcentral lists this transfer RNA (67 nucleotides) under Marmota monax (woodchuck). RNAcentral's name for it is "tRNA.Ala". The record is from RNAcentral. Lineage: Eukaryota; Metazoa; Chordata; Mammalia; Rodentia; Sciuridae.
GGUUGUGGCUCAAUGAUAGAGCGCUUGCCUAGCACAUGCGAGGCCCUGGGUUCAAUCCUCAGCACCA